AACUUURGAUUUUAGUGCAAACGCUAAAAUUCUCCUUUUARACGAUAAGACCCUAAAAUCUUUCUAUUUUUAAUUGGGAUGAUACGAUAAUUUAACAAACUUUCUCUAAAUUUUACGAACCUCCUUGAGCUGAAAGCUUAAGAUACUUUAGGGAUAACAGCUUUUAUUCUCUUACAAGCACCUAUUUAAAGAGCUAUAAAGACCUCGAUGUUGAAUUAACCUGCUUUAAGCUGCAAAAGGCUUUCCACUUUAGUCUGUUCGACUAUUAAGGUUACGUGAUCUGAGUUCAGACC
Molecule: ribosomal RNA, 293 nt
Filed under: Kroyeria sphyrnae
Lineage: Eukaryota; Metazoa; Arthropoda; Copepoda; Siphonostomatoida; Kroyeriidae
Description: partial 16S ribosomal RNA
Rfam family: Archaeal large subunit ribosomal RNA
Source: RNAcentral